This 253-nucleotide ribosomal RNA is filed under the name uncultured bacterium. Its description in RNAcentral is "partial 16S ribosomal RNA". It matches the Rfam family "Bacterial small subunit ribosomal RNA", at positions 524 to 776 of the family's 1533-position model. The record is from RNAcentral.
UACGAAGGGGGCGAGCGUUGUUCGGAUUUACUGGGCGUAAAGGGCGCGCAGGCGGUCUUGAAAGUCAGGCGUGAAAGCCCCGGGCUUAACCUGGGAAUUGCGCUUGAUACUCUGAGACUGGAGUACGGGAGAGGAGAGUGGAAUUCCCGGUGUAGCGGUGAAAUGCGCAGAUAUCGGGAAGAACACCCGUGGCGAAGGCGGCUCUCUGGGACGGUACUGACGCUGAGACGCGAAAGCGUGGGGAGCGAACAGG